UAGCAAUACCGAGAGUAAUUUAGCGGCGAACGGGUGCGUAACACGUGGGCAAUCUGCCAUAAAGUGGGGGAUAGCUCGGCGAAAGCCGAAUUAAUACCGCACGUGAUCAGAGGUGACAUCACUUCGAAAUCAAAGGUGCCGCAAGGUACCGCUUUUUGUGGAGCCCGCGGCCUAUCAGCUUGUUGGUGAGGUAACGGCUCACCAAGGCUUUGACGGGUAGCUGGUCUGAGAGGACGACCAGCCACACUGGGACUGAGACACGGCCCAGACACCUACGGGUGGCAGCAGUCGAGAAUUUUUGACAAUGGGGGAAACCCUGAUCGAGCGACGCCGCGUGGAGGAUGAAGGUCUUCGGAUUGUAAACUCCUGUCAUUUGAGAACAAUGCGGUCACGUUUACUGCGUGGCCGUUGAUAGUAUCAGAAGAGGAAGAGACGGCUAACUCUGUGCCAGCAGCCGCGGUAAUACAGAGGUCUCAAGCGUUGUUCGGAUUCAUUGGGCGUAAAGGGUGUGUAGGUGGCGCGCUAAGUCGGGUGUGAAAUUUCGGAGCUUAACUCCGAAACUGCAUUCGAUACUGGCGUGCUUGAGGACUGGAGAGGAGAUUGGAAUUCUCGGUGUAGCA
This 620-nucleotide ribosomal RNA is filed under the name uncultured Verrucomicrobiota bacterium. RNAcentral describes it as "bacterial SSU rRNA". It matches the Rfam family "Bacterial small subunit ribosomal RNA", at positions 77 to 680 of the family's 1533-position model. The record is from RNAcentral. Lineage: Bacteria; Pseudomonadati; Verrucomicrobiota.